RNAcentral lists this ribosomal RNA (446 nucleotides) under uncultured bacterium. RNAcentral describes it as "bacterial SSU rRNA". It matches the Rfam family "Bacterial small subunit ribosomal RNA", at positions 331 to 794 of the family's 1533-position model. The record is from RNAcentral.
CCAGACUCCUACGGGAGGCAGCAGUGGGGAAUAUUGGACAAUGGGGGGAACCCUGAUCCGGCGACGCCGCGUGAGUGAAGAAGUAUUUCGGUAUGUAAAGCUCUAUCAGCAGGGAAGAAAAUGACGGUACCUGACUAAGAAGCCCCGGCUAACUACGUGCCAGCAGCCGCGGUAAUACGUAGGGGGCAAGCGUUAUCCGGAUUUACUGGGUGUAAAGGGAGCGUAGACGGCAUGGCAAGUCUGAUGUGAAAACCCGGGGCUCAACCCCGGGACUGCAUUGGAAACUGUCAGGCUAGAGUGUCGGAGAGGCAAGUGGAAUUCCUAGUGUGGCGGUGAAAUGCGUAGAUAUUAGGAGGAACACCAGUGGCGAAGGCGGCUUGCUGGACGAUGACUGACGUUGAGGCUCGAAAGCGUGGGGAGCAAACAGGAUUAGAUACCCUCGUAAC